Molecule: ribosomal RNA, 498 nt
Filed under: uncultured bacterium
Lineage: Bacteria
Description: bacterial SSU rRNA
Rfam family: Bacterial small subunit ribosomal RNA
Source: RNAcentral
ACUCAAAUGAAUAGACGGGGGCCCGCACAAGCAGCGGAGCAUGUGGUUUAAUUCGAAGCAACGCGAAGAACCUUACCAAGGCUUGACAUCCCACUAAACUCAUGGAAACAUGAGGUGGUUUCGGCCAAGUGGAGACAGGUGGUGCAUGGUUGUCGUCAGCUCGUGUCGUGAGAUGUUGGGUUAAGUCCCGCAACGAGCGCAACCCCUAUUACCAGUUACCAGCGCGUAGCGGCGGGGACUCUGGUGAGACUGCCGGGGACAACUCGGAGGAAGGUGGGGACGACGUCAAAUCAUCAUGCCCCUUAUGUCUUGGGCUACACACGUGCUACAAUGGCUAUAACAAAGGGAAGCGACAGGGUAACCUGAAGCGGAUCUCAGAAAAAUAGUCCCAGUUCGGAUUGUGGGCUGCAACCCGCCCACAUGAAGUCGGAGUUGCUAGUAAUCGCGGAUCAGAAUGCCGCGGUGAAUACGUUCCCGGGCCUUGUACACACCGCCCGU